This 585-nucleotide ribosomal RNA is filed under the name uncultured bacterium. RNAcentral describes it as "partial 16S ribosomal RNA". It matches the Rfam family "Bacterial small subunit ribosomal RNA", at positions 355 to 1375 of the family's 1533-position model. The record is from RNAcentral.
UGGGGAAUUUUGGACAAUGGGCGAAAGCCUGAUCCAGCAAUGCCGCGUGUGUGAAGAAGGCCUUCGGGUUGUAAAGCACUUUUGUCCGGAAAGAAAUCCUUGGCUCUAAUACAGUCGGGGGAUGACGGUACCGGAAGAAUAAGCACCGGCUAACUACGUGCCAGCAGCCGCGGUAAUACGUAGGGUGCAAGCGUUAAUCGGAAUUACUGGGCGUAAAGCGUGCGCAGGCGGUUUGCUAAGACCGGUGUGAAAUCCCCGGGCUCAACCUGGGAACUGCAUUGGUGACUGGCAGGCUAGAGUAUGGCAGAGGGGGGUAGAAUUCCACGUGUAGCAGUGAAAUGCGUAGAGAUGUGGAGGAAUACCGAUGGCGAAGGCAGCCCCCUGGGCCAAUACUGACGCUCAUGCACGAAAGCGUGGGGAGCAAACAGGAUUAGAUACCCUGGUAGUCCACGCCCUAAACGAUGUCAACUAGUUGUUGGGGAUUCAUUUCCUUAGUAACGUAGCUAACGCGUGAAGUUGACCGCCUGGGGAGUACGGUCGCAAGAUUAAAACUUAAAGGAAUUGACGGGGUCAUAGCUGUUUCCU